UCCGGCUUAUCACCGGCGGUUUCUUUAGAGUGCCCAACUAAAUGAUGGCAACUAAAGACGAGGGUUGCGCUCGUUGCGGGACUUAACUCAACAUCUCACGGCACGAGCUGACGACAGCCAUGCAGCACCUGUACAAGUUCCUCUUGCGAGACAAUGGCUUUCACCAAAUUUAACUUGCGUUUCAAGCCUAGGUAAGGUUCUUCGCGUUGCAUCGAAUUAAACCACAUGCUCCACUGCUUGUGCGGGCCCCCGUCAAUUCCUUUGAGUUUCAACCUUGCGAUCGUACUUCCCAGGUGGAGAACUUAAUGCGUUAGCUUCGUUACCAAGGAAUUGCUUCCCCGACAACCAGUUGACAUAGUUUAGGGCGUGGACUAC
RNAcentral lists this unclassified non-coding RNA (375 nucleotides) under uncultured bacterium. RNAcentral's name for it is "contains 16S-23S intergenic spacer region". The record is from RNAcentral.